RNAcentral lists this ribosomal RNA (301 nucleotides) under uncultured bacterium. RNAcentral's name for it is "partial 16S ribosomal RNA". It matches the Rfam family "Bacterial small subunit ribosomal RNA", at positions 510 to 808 of the family's 1533-position model. The record is from RNAcentral.
CGUAGCCGCGGGAAUACAGAGGGUGCGAGCGUUAAUCGGAUUUACUGGGCGUAAAGCGUGCGUAGGCGGCUUCUUAAGUCGGAUGUGAAAUCCCUGAGCUUAACUUAGGAAUUGCAUUCGAUACUGGGAAGCUAGAGUAUGGGAGAGGAUGGUAGAAUUCCAGGUGUAGCGGUGAAAUGCGUAGAGAUCUGGAGGAAUACCGAUGGCGAAGGCAGCCAUCUGGCCUAAUACUGACGCUGAGGUACGAAAGCAUGGGGAGCAAACAGGAUUAGAUACCCCGGUAGUCCCUGUCUCUUAUACA